ACAGCAGUAGCCACGGUAAUACGAAGGGUGCAAGCGUUACUCGGAAUUACUGGGCGUAAAGCGUGCGUAGGUGGUGGUUUAAGUCCGUUGUGAAAGCCCUGGGCUCAACCUGGGAAUUGCAGUGGAUACUGGGUCACUAGAGUGUGGUAGAGGAUAGUGGAAUUUCCGGUGUAGCAGUGAAAUGCGUAGAGAUCGGGAGGAACAUCAGUGGCGAAGGCGGCCAUCUGGGACAACACUGACGCUGAGGUGCGAAAGCGUGGGGAGCAAACAGGAUUAGAUACCCGCGUAGUCCCUGUCUCUUAUAC
This 305-nucleotide ribosomal RNA is filed under the name uncultured bacterium. RNAcentral's name for it is "partial 16S ribosomal RNA". It matches the Rfam family "Bacterial small subunit ribosomal RNA", at positions 505 to 807 of the family's 1533-position model. The record is from RNAcentral.